Cornus florida is the source of this 1174-nucleotide long non-coding RNA. RefSeq lists it as uncharacterized. The record is from RefSeq and is a predicted model, not a curated record. NCBI's taxonomy places the organism in Eukaryota, Viridiplantae, Streptophyta, Magnoliopsida, Cornales, Cornaceae. The transcript has 2 exons.
UUCUGUUUCCCCUUCGUUCAUUCACUUUAUAUGAAAGCAACUAUUGGACUUGAUAUAUAGUUAAGGCACCAUCUGGUUAUAUGCCUUUUUAAAGUACUUUUGCAAGACAAAAAAGUCAAAACUAUUUUUUCUUAUUGUCUUUUGUUGCAGUAAAAGGUAUAUUUAGUGGAUGUCUAUCCAAUAAAAGUAUUUCCAAUAAAAAAUACAUGGGAUGACUUAUAGGUGUUUGUGGUGGUGGUGAUGCUACUGUGUUUGGGGCGGAGUUUAUGUAAUUGUGGCUCUGGUUUUGUCAUAUUUCUUUUAUAGGCUUUUGUUGAAAGCAUGAAAGGUAAUUCUUAGUGGUUGUCAUUGUUGUGUUAACCCCAAAUCUAGUUGAAUGGGUUUGGGCAUAUUAAUUAUCUUCUUCCAUUCUUUUAUAAUGCAAGCAAUAUUUCCUAUUAUAUUUAAUUUCUUUAGGCCUAUUACUGACCUCUUUGUCUCUUUCUACAACUAUAAGCCAAGUCGUAAGCAACUCACUUCUAUUCUUGUUUUUUUUGAUAACUGGGGUGUCCGGAGCUUUACCCCGACUAAUCCAAGGGACCCGUGCAAAGCGUCACCUCCACAUGGAUUGGGUAAAGCUUGGACUACGUCCGCGGGCGAGGCCCCUAAGGAAUUGUUUGCACUUAGGAGGAAUUGAUCCUGAGACCUCAUGCUUCACGAGGCUCCAGGGCCCAAGUAUUUUCCAACUAGGCCAACCCCUUGGGAUUAUAUAUUGAUUGGGGCUCUAUAGAUCAUAGUACUACUACUAGUAUACUAGAGGGGCCAGAAUGGAAAUCAAAACUCCUAGCAAUACUUCACUGUCAUCCUAGUCAAUGAUGUAGGCGUCAUCCAGACACUGUACAGAUCUACGGAUCUCCUCAGCAGCCAAGUGGAAAGAUUUAGUUGUAAUCAGUACUUAGAAUAAAUCUUUGAGAUUAUCUGAUUUGAUCACACUCACUGGUUUAAAAGAUUGAGUUUAUGUUGUAUUCAGUUGUGAUUUUUUGAUGGUGCGUUUGUUUUUUUGCUUAAAUCCAACUUCAGAUUGAUGACUCCUGCACCUUCCAAUAAAAGAAAAUAAAAUAUUGGAAAUAGUUGUUUAUAGUUUCUUCUUUUCAUAAGGGGAAAUAAUGUUAAUAUAACAGAAGUUGAAAAUUAA